This 440-nucleotide ribosomal RNA is filed under the name uncultured bacterium. RNAcentral describes it as "partial 16S ribosomal RNA". It matches the Rfam family "Bacterial small subunit ribosomal RNA", at positions 338 to 795 of the family's 1533-position model. The record is from RNAcentral.
CCUACGGGAGGCAGCAGUAGGGAAUAUUGCCCAAUGGGGGAAACCCUGACGCAGCAACGCCGCGUGAGGGAAGAAGGCUUUCGGUUUGUAAACUUCUAUUAUCAGGGAAGAAAAUGACGGUAGCUGAUUAAUAAGCACCGGCUAACUACGUGCCAGCAGCCGCGGUAAUACGUAGGUGGCAAGCGUUAUCCGGAUUUACUGGGUGUAAAGGGAGCGUAGACGGGAGAACAAGUCUGGUGUGAAAUGCUGGGGCUUAACCCUAGAACUGCAUUGGAAACUGUGAAUCUAGAGUGCAGGAGAGGUAGGUGGAAUUCUUGGUGUAGCGGUGAAAUGCGUAGAUAUCAGGAGGAACACCAGUUGCGAAGGCGGCUUACUGGACUGUAACUGACGUUGAGGCUCGAAAGCGUGGGGAGCAAACAGGAUUAGAUACCCGUGUAGUC